RNAcentral lists this ribosomal RNA (797 nucleotides) under Knufia walvisbayicola. Its description in RNAcentral is "partial large subunit ribosomal RNA". It matches the Rfam family "Eukaryotic large subunit ribosomal RNA", at positions 71 to 885 of the family's 3401-position model. Lineage: Eukaryota; Fungi; Ascomycota; Eurotiomycetes; Chaetothyriales; Trichomeriaceae. The record is from RNAcentral.
GGGAUUGCCUCAGUAACGGCGAGUGAAGCGGCAACAGCUCAAAUUUGAAAUCUGGCCGUUUACGGUCCGAGUUGUAAUUUGUAGAGGAUGUUUUGGGUACCGCCACGGUUUAAAUUUCUUGGAACAGAAUGUCAAAGAGGGUGAGAGUCCCGUCUUGGACCGCGGUAGGGCCUGUGUAAAACUCCUUCGACGAGUCGACUUGUUUGGGAAUGCAGGUCAAAAUGGGUGGUAAAUUUCAUCUAAAGCUAAAUAUUGGCCAGAGACCGAUAGCGCACAAGUAGAGUGAUCGAAAGAUGAAAAGCACUUUGAAAAGAGAGUUAAACAGUAUGUGAAAUUGUUGAAAGGGAAGCGCUGGCAACCAGACUCGUGCGCGGGGUUCCCCCUUGCUUCUGCUUGGGUCACUUCCCCGUGUCCGGGCCAUCAUCAGUUUUGGGGGCCGGUUAAAGACCUUGGGAAUGUAUCCACGCCUUCGGGGGUGGACUUAUAGCCCAGGGUGUCAUGCGGCCACCCGGGACUGAGGAACGCGCUUCGGCGAGGAUGAUGGCGUAAUGGUUGUCAGCGGCCCGUCUUGAAACACGGACCAAGGAGUCUAACAUCUAUGCGAGUGUUCGGGUGUCAAACCCUUGCGCGGAAUGAAAGUGAACGGAGGUAGGAAGGCUUAAGCCUGCACUAUCGACCGAUCCUGAUGUCUUCGGAUGGAUUUGAGUAAGAGCAUAGCUGUUGGGACCCGAAAGAUGGUGAACUAUGCGUGAAUAGGGUGAAGCCAGAGGAAACUCUGGUGGAGGCUCGCAGCGGUU